This 429-nucleotide ribosomal RNA is filed under the name uncultured Lysobacterales bacterium. Its description in RNAcentral is "bacterial SSU rRNA". It matches the Rfam family "Bacterial small subunit ribosomal RNA", at positions 355 to 776 of the family's 1533-position model. Lineage: Bacteria; Pseudomonadati; Pseudomonadota; Gammaproteobacteria; Lysobacterales. The record is from RNAcentral.
UGGGGAAUAUUGGACAAUGGGGGAAACCCUGAUCCAGCAAUGCCGCGUGUGUGAAGAAGGCCUGCGGGUUGUAAAGCACUUUCGGAGGGGACAAAAAGCGUCGGGCUAACACCCAGGCGUCUUGAUUUAACCCUCAUAAGAAGCACCGGCUAACUCUGUGCCAGCAGCCGCGGUAAUACAGAGGGUGCAAGCGUUAAUCGGAAUUACUGGGCGUAAAGCGCACGCAGGCGGCUGCAUAAGCCGGUCGUGAAAUCCCCGGGCUUAACCUGGGAAUUGCGAUCGGGACUGUGCGGCUAGAGUGUUGGAGAGGGCAGCGGAAUUCCAGGUGUAGCGGUGAAAUGCGUAGAUAUCUGGAGGAACAUCAGUGGCGAAGGCGGCUGCCUGGCCAAACACUGACGCUCAGGUGCGAAAGCGUGGGGAGCAAACAGG